AUUGAACGCUGGCGGCAUGCCUUACACAUGCAAGUCGAACGGCAGCACGGGUGCUUGCACCUGGUGGCGAGUGGCGAACGGGUGAGUAAUACAUCGGAACGUACCUUAUCGUGGGGGAUAACGCAGCGAAAGCUGUGCUAAUACCGCAUACGCCCUGAGGGGGAAAGCGGGGGAUCGCAAGACCUCGCGCGAUUAGAGCGGCCGAUGCCUGUUUAGCUAGUUUGUGGGGUAAAAGCCCACCAAGGCGACGAUCAGUAGCUGGUCUGAGAGGACGAUCAGCCACACUGGGACUGAGACACGGCCCAGACUCCUACGGGAGGCAGCAGUGGGGAAUUUUGGACAAUGGGGGCAACCCUGAUCCAGCAAUGCCGCGUGAGUGAAGAAGGCCUUCGGGUUGUAAAGCUCUUUUGUCAGGGAAGAAACACCGGCUCUAACACAGUCCGGGAAUGACGGUACCUGAAGAAUAAGCACCGGCUAACUACGUGCCAGCCGCCGCCGUAA
RNAcentral lists this ribosomal RNA (501 nucleotides) under uncultured bacterium. Its description in RNAcentral is "partial 16S ribosomal RNA". It matches the Rfam family "Bacterial small subunit ribosomal RNA", at positions 30 to 523 of the family's 1533-position model. The record is from RNAcentral.